UUCAUUUUUCCGCAAAAUAAACUCAGUAAACACAACUCCCUCUCUCUUUCUCUCUUUUCCGGCGACACACAAACCGGCGGAGCCGGCCGAUGCACGGCGGAGACGCCGCGAUGCUCCGGCAACCUGUUUUUGGCGCGUGACGGCGCGUACCCCCCCUAAAAAGCACCUACCGAGUAUGAUUCCAGUACUAGUUCCUCAAUCGGAGCAGUGGAGGUGACGGUUCUGGUCACUGGCAGCCGCGGUUCGAGGACUUCACUCCGGGAUGGUGGCUGUUGGGUGGUCGACGGCGACGGUGGUGGUGACUGACGGUGGCGGAAGCCGCCGGAGCUAUGAAGAGGGCGAUGACAAAUUGUGGUGGUUGUUCACAGCUCGGGUUCGGGUAUAGGGCUCCAGAUUCGUGUUCGGAUUCAAGAUUUUUCUUUUGGUUCAGACUUCGUCUCAGCUUGGGUUUCAAUUUCAGCUGGUGCGGGUCAGGAAACCAACCGAGACAAACCUCAGUUUCGGUCAACUCACGGUUCGGUUUUGGUCUCGGUUCAGGCUACGAGUUGGGUAUGGUUCAGCAGGUCCGGGUUCAAGCUCCGUCAAGACAAGAUAAACUGGUCAAUGGUUCGGUUCGGUCAAGAUAAGUCAGCGGCGGUUCGGUUCGUGGUUCGGGUCGACUCGGUCAAACCUGGUCAACCCAGUGAGUUGACCCGACCCAGUCAACUCAGUUGACCCGGUCAACUCAGCUAACUUUUUUCGGCGUUUCGAACACGAAUAUUCGGAUGCACGCUAGCGAAUCACGUUUGGAAACGACAUAUUGGAAAGCACAUAUAGCUAGCUUUGCACAGGAAUAUCCAGGUUACUUUUUCAAAUCAUGGCGCGGUUGGAAUAGGAGAACCAUGUGGAGUCGAGUACUUAUUGGCGUUCAUUUUCUAGAAGUCUUAGCUUAUUUGCUUCUGCUGUGCAAUGAAGAUACCAGUCCACUCAUGCCAGCUUUGAUAUUUCGGGGUGUGACAAUGCGCAACAUCCGUUUUGCUUCAGCCUUUCCGCGUACACCUCCUACACAUGGGGGAGAGCCCUCAGAUCACCCACAUAUACCUCCACCCGAGUCGAGUCCAUGUCUUUAGUCACCUCGAUUAUUCCCUCCAUAUACUAUGUCGUUGUCUGAUCCGUAUCAUCCUUCUAAUCACUCUGGUUACACCAGAGAUGGUCUCCUGCUAUCACUCCAGCUUCAGGUAGAGAUCCUAUGCCAUAGAGUCUAUGAACUGGAGAACGAGGCCGACGCUAGACGACCUCCUCCACCCGACUUUCCGCCACCAGUCACACCCCCACCACCAUCUUCACCCCCACCAGCAUCUCCACCACUACCUGUUCAUGCACCUGUUGAUGGUCGUGCUGCUCAAUUCCUUACACUAGAGCAGCAGGUUAGUUUUCCGAUCCGUCGAGUCCACGAGCUCGAGAAUGAGGUAGCUCAUCUUCGUAGUUUGGUUUUUCCUACGCACCUACCCUCUCCACCAGCCUGUUAGGCUUUUCAUUGCAGGUACUUAUGUUGGAGUGUAUUUUUGGGUCUGAAGACCACAACCGAGUUUUGGGUACAACUUGAAGACAAGGACCGCCAAUGUGAAGAAAGAUAUUUUGCCUUUUAUAUGUAUUAAAACUUGUACUAUUGGGUGAUGUAACCCUUAUGCAUUUUUGUUUUUUUCAUAAACAAUUAUGUAACAUGUGACAACCCGUAACUUCAGGUUAAUGCUUUAACUUAACAUAAUUAAGUUGGUCGCA
This is a long non-coding RNA of Helianthus annuus (common sunflower), 1761 nucleotides long. RefSeq lists it as uncharacterized. The transcript is spliced from 4 exons. The record is from RefSeq and is a predicted model, not a curated record. Lineage: Eukaryota; Viridiplantae; Streptophyta; Magnoliopsida; Asterales; Asteraceae.